Molecule: ribosomal RNA, 468 nt
Filed under: uncultured bacterium
Lineage: Bacteria
Description: partial 16S ribosomal RNA
Rfam family: Bacterial small subunit ribosomal RNA
Source: RNAcentral
GACGAACGCUGGCGGCGUGCUUAACACAUGCAAGUCGAACGGAAAGGCCCUGCUUUUGUGGGGUGCUCGAGUGGCGAACGGGUGAGUAACACGUGAGUAACCUGCCCUUGACUUUGGGAUAACUUCAGGAAACUGGGGCUAAUACCGGAUAGGAGCUCAUGCUGCAUGGUGGGGGUUGGAAAGUUUCGGCGGUUGGGGAUGGACUCGCGGCUUAUCAGCUUGUUGGUGGGGUAGUGGCUUACCAAGGCUUUGACGGGUAGCCGGCCUGAGAGGGUGACCGGCCACAUUGGGACUGAGAUACGGCCCAGACUCCUACGGGAGGCAGCAGUGGGGAAUAUUGCACAAUGGGCGGAAGCCUGAUGCAGCAACGCCGCGUGCGGGAUGACGGCCUUCGGGUUGUAAACCGCUUUCGCCUGUGACGAAGCGUGAGUGACGGUAAUGGGUAAAGAAGCACCAGCUAACUACGUG